GACGAACGCUGGCGGCGUGCUUAACACAUGCAAGUCGAGCGGUAAGGCCUUUCGUGGUACACGAGCGGUGAACGGGUGAGUAACACGUGGGCGAUCUGCCCUGCACUUUGGCAUAAGCCUGGGAAACUGGGUCUAAUACUGGAUAUGACCUCCUAUCGUAUGGUGGGGGGUGGAAAGAUUUAUCGGUGCGGGAUGGGCCCGCGGCCUAUCAGCUUGUUGGUGGGGUAUUGGCCUACCAAGGCGACGACGGGUAGCCGACCUGAGAGGGUGACCGGCCACACUGGGACUGAGACACGGCCCAGACUCCUACGGGAGGCAGCAGUGGGGAAUAUUGCACAAUGGGCGAAAGCCUGAUGCAGCGACGCCGCGUGAGGGAUGACGGCCUUCGGGUUGUAAACCUCUUUCAGCAGGGAAGAAGCGAGAGUGACGGUACCUGCAGAAGAAGCGCCGGCUAACUACGUG
RNAcentral lists this ribosomal RNA (462 nucleotides) under uncultured bacterium. Its description in RNAcentral is "partial 16S ribosomal RNA". It matches the Rfam family "Bacterial small subunit ribosomal RNA", at positions 28 to 507 of the family's 1533-position model. The record is from RNAcentral.